Long non-coding RNA from Cryptotermes secundus, 6815 nucleotides. RefSeq lists it as uncharacterized. The transcript has 3 exons. Lineage: Eukaryota; Metazoa; Arthropoda; Insecta; Blattodea; Kalotermitidae. The record is from RefSeq and is a predicted model, not a curated record.
CUGAAAUAGCAGCUAUGUACUGGAAGAGGAGUUGUAAAUAAGAGCCGCGUACUAACGACAGAAUUUUUAAGUGGUAACCGGGACAGAAAGAGCAGCUUACGAGUAAAAUUCGAUCUGAGAAUUGAUAAUAGCAUCCGAGUGCUUAGCAUACAACCCGGAAGUACAAGCGACCAACAAGAAUAUUCAUCUACGUGUUCUAAGGGUACUUGUCUAGCAGAGAGUGAUGGGUUCUUAAAGUGAGCUGAGAUGCUUCAGGUCUCACGAACCCAACAUGGUAGCUCAAACCUGGCACUGUGGCUCAGACUGUACAUAUAUGGUCUCCAUGGCUUCUUCAUUGAAGUCCUUUUUACUGCGGGCUGGGAGUUUAUCAUCAGUGGCAACUGGAAACUCCCAGGUUACACAAGUGUAUGGUCACUCGCCAUCUACGGCAUAUCAGGCAUGAUCAUGGAGCACAUAUAUGCUGCUUGCAAAAAAUCGAGAGUGCCCCUUCUGCUUCGUGGAAUCUGUUACCUGUUAUGGGUGUACAUGUGGGAGUUCUCUACAGGUUUCAUACUGAAGCAAUUCAAUGCGUGCCCAUGGGACUACUCUGAGUUUAAUUAUAAUGUUCAAGGACUUAUAACAUUUGAAUAUGCUCCAUUAUGGUUUUUGGUCUCGAUAUUAAUGGAAAGAGUUGUUAUUGCACAUGUAUCAGAACUACACUGGGCCACAUCACCAUCUCAUAAUGGACUUGCCGCAAGAUUCAAAGACUGAAGAGCCAAGCCAGUUAUCAUGUAUGUACAAUAUUAUAUUGCUUGCACUGUACCUGGAGUUAAGAAUUUUAACACCUGUAAGAUAAAAAAGUACAACUACAGUGCUGGCCAAAGUUAAGAAAAAUAAAAGUCACCAGUCAUCAGCUAAAACGGUAUGAUAAUAUUAUAAACUAUUGUAAGAUUGUUCUGGAAGUACAUCCACUACUUCAGAUGCAUAUUCUAAUGCAUGGCUACUGGAUCAAACUACAAAUAUUCCAAACCAUAAUAUUUACAUCCAGGUACAAACUUAAUACUAAUAUCAAUAAAAUUGACAACAAUAAUAAAUUUAAUUUUGUGAUGAUUUUGAAAGUGUUAUGUCAGAAAUUAAUUCUGGCAUUCAUUGAAUAUGUCUGAUUAUUUAUAUUCUUAUUGGCCAUUGACCUGGCAUUAUGUGAUUAGUAACUUCAUCAAUCUAUAUAAAUAUAUUCUGUCAUGAAAAAAAUGGUUAAUUUAUUGUCAGAUUAAUAGAAAACAUGUUAUUUGAAAACUGUAAGCAGAUAAUAGUUUUUCAAGGUCAAGUAACAAGCUGUAUGGUAUAAUUUUGUGCAUGUGAGCCAAAUUACUUAGUAGCAAAAUUGGUGGUUAAUUGUUAAAUCGACUAUGUAGACAAUUUAAUCGGUUUACUGUAACAGAUUAGUUUUACUGCACCUAAAAUGACCUUUCAGACUAAAAAAUUGCAGUAACUUUUUGGCAUAAUUAGCCCAGAAACUCAGUAAUUGUAAGUAUAUGGUAAUCAGUCCUGUUUUUAUGAAAUAUAAGCAGAAAUGGCUGUAAAGUGGAACAAGUAUACAUGCACCCAUUGAUUCCAAAACUUUGACUUAUAAAAAUUAAAAUAAAGAAAAGAUUAUCACAUGUUAACGAGUACUAACUCUAAUUUCAAUAUUUAUGAUGAAAAUACACUCCUCUCUUUGGUAGUUAGUGGUAAAGAAAGCACAUACUUCAGAUCAGUUUGAUUUCUUAAAUAGAAUCUUUUAUCUGUAAACUACUAUAUUUAAGCAAAUGGCAUUUUAGAAUUACUGGGUUUUCAGAUGUCCAUCGUUCAGUAUUCUAAAAAUGAGAGAACAGAAUGUUUCAGAAACUGGACCUGUUUCCUUUCUCAGGUGAGGGGGGGAGACACCUACUUUGCUGGGUCCCUUAGAAAGCGCUACCUCAAUUAAGGUCAGUUAGUUUUUAGAAUACCGGAUGCUGUACAAAGUCUGAAAACCCAGUAAUUCUGAGUGUUACACACCAUCGGCAGUACCCCUUAGAAUCGAACAGCAUUUUAUUUGCUUGCACAAAGCCACAUGGCACUGUCCAUAUUUUGAUGUGGAAGAAAGAAUUCUCAUUGUCUACUCUUUAAGGCUCGAAGUAUUCAUCAUUCAAUUUAUGGAGUUUCUGAACACCCAAAGUGUAGUGCCAAUUACUGUCAUAAAACCAUAUUAGUUUACAAUUAUGUAAUUUUAAGGUAUGCAACUUGAACUAAUAAAGAGCCAAGAUAGCACAGUCGGUAUAUUGACUGGCUAUGGGAUGGACAUCCAAGGGGGUGGUGUUUGAGUCCUGGUGGAGGCAAAAAUUUUAGCUUCAUGUCAUCCAGACUAGUUCUGUGGCCCACUCAGCCUCCUAUCCAAUGGUACCAGGGGCCUUUUCCCUGGGGCUAAAUCGGCCAAGGCAUGAAGCUGACCACUCACCUCCAACUAGUGCUGACAUCAAGAAAACAUGGGUCUAUAUAUCCACUGUGCCACAUGCCUUCAUGGCAUAGCGCUUAAUUAGUUAAGCACAGGGCAACUUUUACGUGAACUAAAGAGCCAUGACUAAAUAUCUUGGGACAUGCUUUAUUGGAACAAUGUUGUUAUUAAGUCUAUUAGGAUCCAUAUUAAAUUCAACACAGUAACAAAUAUUUCACUUCUAUAAAGUUUGAUAUUUCUAAUGAGUAUGAUAAACUUUAGAAUAAUAUCCAUUUUUUAUAGAUGUGAUAUGGUAGAUCUCAGCUGUGAAUGGAAAAUAGCGUUUUUAAUCUGUUCUGAUACUUACUGAUGAAAAUCUAGACAGAAGGAACCUGUAAGGCAAAUGAAAUAUGACUGUUCACCUAAAGUAAUUACAACAUACAAAAUUAACAGUAUACAUAAGCAUGUACAUAGUUUAGUUUCAUAGAAUUUAAAAAUCUCAGUACAUUUAAAAUCCAUGUCAUUCAGUCAGAAAUGCAGCGCCCUUGAUAUGUCCAAAAAGCACUUAUGUCAGAAGUGUUUUAGCUUCAACAGUUCUAGCUAGAUAUAAGUCUUCCUUAUUCUGUAUUAAAACAGAAAUAUUCAGAUGGCAGAGUCUUCAUGGUCUGUUAUAAUAAGAAAGAAGGUUCUAUUUGAAGUAGCAUGACUUAAUGUUGAGUUGUUGUUAGUACUUAUAUUUGGAUGUGAAUGUGACUCGAUGAUCUUAAGUUUGCUGCAUACAAAUUAUGAAUUGUAGCAUGUAAAGGGUCACAAAAUAUAUUUAAAACAAGAAUAAUAUAAAAGCCCUCUGCAACAUUUAAAAAAUCAAUUACCACUUUAAUCUCAAGAGGUUUGCUUCUUUUUAUGGUGUGGUUCAGAUUUUAUGUAGCAUCAGAUUUUCUGCAGAAACACUUCCCUCCCCCUUGCCCCAACUAACGGAGCAAUACAUCAGUACGCUGAAGAGAAGUAAAAUCAUAUCUUCCCCUGGUAUUACCUUUCAUUUCCAUCAGUUCCUCAACCACAUGUUCUUACGUGGUACAACUCCAAUAUGAAAGCCUAGUAACCUACUGCAACAUUUCCUUAGUUAUCUCAAACCAAUGUUCACUACAGGGCUUGUUGAAAUAUGUUGAAAACAUUCAAUAUGCUAUAAAAUGGCGCCUAAUUAGGCUACAGAAACUGUUUCCUUGACAGAAAUCAAGCAUUAGGAAUGGAAAUGGUUUCUCAGCACUACGUAGAUCCUCCAGGUCAGUAGAUAAGCCUGGGGGAAUGAAAAGCACACAUUUAUGGUAAGGAAUGAGAGUUACAGCGUCUUAAGGCAACAGAUUAAAAAAAAAGCGUUUUAGAACUAAGUACAGAGCGUCUGCUCGCAUCUAUGCUAAGCACUCAUAACAUAUUUUCCACCAAUUUACCUAUGGUAGCUUAAAGAUUCACUAUGCCUUUGUUACACAUACUUCAUGUGUGCUGUCUUAACAGGACAGCUUCAUCCAGAACUUCACAAAGAAAUAUAUUCACGUGUAAUUUUACAAAAUAGUAGUAGACAAAAUUAAGACUUAGUAGACAUAAAAUGCUCUCAAUUGUCGAAAUAAAAUUAUUGCUUAUGAACAUUCUAAUUGAACCUGACAGUAAAGAGUAUGUUUUUCUCCUGGUUCCUUCUGUUGCCAGUUACCCAUCGUCAUUUAAAAAUCACUCCAUGCUAAUAUCUCACUGACCCCCCCCCCCUCCAAACCUCACCCCAAGCUGUGUGACAGCCCUGACCACGCUGCACAUUAAAGUUUUGGUCUUCAUCUCUGACCCAGUGUAUCUGCUGCUUAAGCAACAGAGUAUGGGAGUUAGUGAGGUGUCUGUCAUGGAGUAACUACCAAAACUAUUGACAAGGUGAAAGGGCACAAGUUCUGUGUAGAAUGAAAUUUAUCUGUUCAUGAGAGAGUAGGUUCUGAAAAGAAAAAAAAUACAGAGUCAAAUUGCUUUUAAGAGAUGGUGAGCAAAAAUUUACAGUAGUCAUUUACAUUUGUUGGUUAAAAACAUCUCUGAAUGUUGGAUGUGCCUUGAGUAGGCAGUCUUACAGAAGAAAAUCCCUGUUUUUUUAACAUAAUGUUCAGUAUGGUGACUUUGGUUCCCACCACAGUUGUGGCUCAUAAACAUCUGAACAAGUGGGGCAGCCAACACCAAGCAAAAUUUAUCUCCUUUCCCAUGCCUAUAUUUAAUGAAAUAAGGGGGAAAUUAUAUUUUUGUUUAUGUGUUAAUAUUUCAAGUGUUUAUUUUCAGGUUACAUAGGCAUCUUCUUACAGCAACUUAGGCUUAUCCGGUGUUGAUACAGGCAUUUUAAACUAAAGGGUUCUCUCGCUCUGUAACCUGUGACUAAAUAUUUAUUUCUCUUGAUGGGAAUACAGUCUUCCCUUAGGUCGAAUGAGGAUUUGAACCCUGCUAGGCUCAAAUGUGCCCUAUACUGCCCAUGGGUCGAUCAUGCAGGCAGAAGGACAGAUUUCCACUUUUUUACUUCAGGUGUUUCAGCAGGGAUUUGUACAAGCCUAAAAAUACACUGUUCAACCACCUACCAAUUUUGACCAAUAUCAUUCCUCACAUCUUUCUUUAGGCAUGGCAAAAAAGAUUGAUAUGUAACCGAAUCACUCAUACGCUUCCUCGUCAACUACUCUUCAUCCAUCAGUGUAAUAUGAUUUUGAUUCUGUCCUUGGGUCUUUGCAGUGGGUGGAUAUUGGCAGUGUUUCCUACAUUUUGGAGGUACAUACUUCCUCCAUCUUCAGGACCUGAAGAUAAUGGCACCAUGUACAUCUGACGCAGGCAAUACUGCCCGCAUCAAAGAGUGUAAAGAAGCAUCUAACACAGGAUUCCUAAUAAACUUUCUACUGUAUUCACAUUACAGGCUUGUCACUCAAAAUAACACACUUCACAUAAUCAUAUUUAAUCUCGUAUAAAUGAAAAAUGCAAGAAACCUAAAAUGUUAACACAUGCUUUUCUAACGAUGUAGCCAGGUAUAUGCGGUGGGAGGGAGAAUAAUGGAUGUUCAGGGAUGUUGGGGAGACAUGAAUACACACUGAAUUCUAUGAACACCUGAUAGGCCCCAGUCUCCCAACCCAGGUACAACAGAAGAGUCUUGAGAGGGAAAGGUAAAAAUACCUAUCAAGGACCAUAAGCAAGUGGAUGUAACUAUGAUGGAAGAGUUAGAUAAAGCUACGGCCCAUGAGACAAGGCUUUCCAUGAAUUUUGAACACUGAGGCAUUACAUUUUUGAGGGGCUCAGCUUUGGCCCCUAAGGAGUGCCUGCCAAUGUCCCACUGUAGGUAUAAAAUAAAAUUUAGUAGUGUUCUAAUGAUAAUAUAAAGAUCUAUGUCAUUAUCUGAUAAUAUGCCAUCAAAGAUACCUUAGACAAAGAAUACUGACAAACUUUGUUUUAGUUGUAGAAGCUGUAUGAUCCUCCAAAACCUCAGCAAACUUCCACAGGUUUAUGAAGUGUUACCCCUCAGAAGAUGGUACCCCUUCUAGUGCUGUGAAAAAAAAAGACCUAACAUUAAAUUCAUUUAUUCAUAUUUUUAAAUCUCUGUUGUUAAUAAUUAGCAACAUUUUUUUCCAGAGAAUUGUUAGUGUUUUAUUAUUCAUUCUAUUUCUGUACCAUUAAAUCAAUUUUGUAGAUAAAAUCGAAUUUUAUAAAAAUUCAUUCCUAAUCAAAAUUUCAGCAUUAAAUAUUUGACAUCCAAAAUGUUAAGAACUUAUCUUUUAUAGUAAUUUUCCCCCCAUUGUGACAAACUAGCAUGGAUGGUUCAACCCUCUGAAGUCCAAUUAUUUCAAUAUGCAGUUUCAGUAUGCAAUAUUUUAAAGUUGUCAGAUUUAACCCAACAUUAGCCUAACAUGUGAUUUUCUGAGUGUGAGAUUGAGUUUGAUAUAAUAUUACUUUCACGAUCCAUUUGUCAAAACAUACAAUAUGUACCAGUUUCAGUUUAAAUUUAUUGUAUUCAAAAUUAAUAUAAUGUUGGACCCAUUUUUUUUUGUUCUUAAUUUUAAUGUUUGCAUCCUGUUGUGUGAGUAUAACUAAUAAUACAAAUUCCACCAUUAACACAACUAUGAUUUAUUAACUUAAGUUGCACUACAUGUUUCUACCCUUAUAGGGUCAUCUGCAGGUGCUGUAAUUUACACAUCUUUAUUACUGAAAUGUAAAGAGUGUAUUCAUAUUUACAUACAUAGACUUCAAAUAACUAAUUUCUAUGUACAUUUAUAUUGUAACUGGUUGGUUUAAUUACAAGAUAUAUAUGAACUAAAGGUUGAAAAUUAAAAAUUAAUUUUACUAUUCUGUAUUUCAGCAUCCUGUUGCAAUUGUUCAAAUUAGCGCCCAU